UAGCGGUAUGUAAUGGCUGGAUGCUGUUGUGCUAGGCCCUUUGGGGCAAUGUGCACACCCUCUGGUCAUUUGUUUCUUCUGUCCCACAUGUGCACUGCCUGUAGACACUGCUGUGUCUAUGAUAAUGUUACACACACACAUGGAUGUAUGCAUAAUAUAUAUAUGUUGGUUGGCAUUUUAUGUAAAUACAACUUUCAACAAUGGAUCUCUUGGCUCUCGCAUCGAUGAAGAACACAGCGAAAUGUGAUAAGUAAUGUGAAUUGCAGAAUCCAGUGAAUCAUCGAAUCUUUGAACGCAUCUUGCGCUCCUUGGCAUUCCGAGGAGCAUGCCUGUUUGAGUGUCGUUAAACUAUCAAAACACUUUUUUUCUUGGGUGUUUUGGACUCUGGGAGUGUUUUUGCUGGUCUGUUUGAGCCGGCUCUCCUCAAAAGCAUUAGCUUUGGAGACUGUCAGUGUGAUAAUUUUGCUUGACACUGACUCGAGCGUCUUUGCUUCUCCUUUGACCUCAAAUCAGGUAGGACUACCCGCUGAACUUAAGCAUAUCAAAGGCGCGAGAGAAUCAAUAUUGAAUGAGACUUCUGGCUGGAUGCUGUUGUGCUGGCCCUUUGGGGCAAUGUGCACACCCUCUGGUCAUUUGUUUCUUCUGUCCCACAUGUGCACUGCCUGUAGACACUGCUGUGUCUAUGAUAAUGUUACACACACACAUGGAUGUAUGCAUAAUAUAUAUAUGUUGGUUGGCAUUUUAUGUAAAUACACUUUCACAAUGGAUCUCUUGGCUCUCGCAUCGAUGAAGAACACAGCGAAGUGUGAUAAGUAAUGUGAAUUGCAGAAUCAGUGAAUCAUCGAAUCUAUGAACGCAUCUGCGCUCUUGGCAUUCGAGGAGCAUGCUGUUUGAGUGUCGUAACUAUCAACACUUUUUUUCUUGGUGUUUGGACUCUGGGAGUGUUUUGCUGGUCUGUUGAGCGCUCUCUCAAGCAUAGCUUUGAGACUGUCAGUGUGAUAGUUUGCUGGACUGACCGAGCUCUUGCUUUCUUUGACUCAAUCGUAGCAUCCUGACUUAGCUG
This 1063-nucleotide ribosomal RNA is filed under the name Amanita lignitincta. RNAcentral describes it as "eukaryotic LSU rRNA". The stretch from base 190 to 343 matches the Rfam family "5.8S ribosomal RNA". Lineage: Eukaryota; Fungi; Basidiomycota; Agaricomycetes; Agaricales; Amanitaceae. The record is from RNAcentral.